UGGGGAAUUUUGGACAAUGGACGCAAGUCUGAUCCAGCCAUGCCGCGUGCGGGAAGAAGGCCUUCGGGUUGUAAACCGCUUUUGUCAGGGAAGAAACGAGUUUCUCUAAUACGGAGACUUAAUGACGGUACCUGAAGAAUAAGCACCGGCUAACUACGUGCCAGCAGCCGCGGUAAUACGUAGGGUGCAAGCGUUAAUCGGAAUUACUGGGCGUAAAGCGUGCGCAGGCGGUUAUGCAAGACAGAUGUGAAAUCCCCGGGCUCAACCUGGGACCUGCAUUUGUGACUGUAUAGCUAGAGUACGGUAGAGGGGGAUGGAAUUCCGCGUGUAGCAGUGAAAUGCGUAGAUAUGCGGAGGAACACCGAUGGCGAAGGCAAUCCCCUGGGCCUGCACUGACGCUCAUGCACGAAAGCGUGGGGAGCAAACA
This 427-nucleotide ribosomal RNA is filed under the name uncultured bacterium. Its description in RNAcentral is "bacterial SSU rRNA". It matches the Rfam family "Bacterial small subunit ribosomal RNA", at positions 355 to 774 of the family's 1533-position model. The record is from RNAcentral.